UAUGCCUACGGGGCGCAGCAGUGGGGAAUAUUGCACAAUGGGGGAAACCCUGAUGCAGCGACGCCGCGUGAGUGAAGAAGUAUCUCGGUACGUAAAGCUCUAUCAGCAGGGAAGAAAAAAAGCCUUUGGCUUUGGACGGUACCUGACUAAGAAGCCCCGGCUAACUACGUGCCAGCAGCCGCGGUAAUACGUAGGGGGCAAGCGUUAUCCGGAUUUACUGGGUGUAAAGGGAGCGUAGACGGUUGUACAAGUCUGAUGUGAAAGCCCACGGCUCAACUGUGGGAGUGCAUUGGAAACUGUAGAAC
Molecule: ribosomal RNA, 305 nt
Filed under: uncultured bacterium
Lineage: Bacteria
Description: bacterial SSU rRNA
Rfam family: Bacterial small subunit ribosomal RNA
Source: RNAcentral